RNAcentral lists this ribosomal RNA (731 nucleotides) under uncultured fungus. Its description in RNAcentral is "eukaryotic LSU rRNA". It matches the Rfam family "Eukaryotic large subunit ribosomal RNA", at positions 1 to 686 of the family's 3401-position model. Lineage: Eukaryota; Fungi. The record is from RNAcentral.
AAGCGCAUAGUUAAGGCUCAAGCUUUCUUUUUAAAAAUAUUUAAUUUUGACCUCAAAUCAGGUAGGACUACCCGCUGAACUUAAGCAUAUCAAUAAGGCGGAGGAAAAGAAACCAACAGGGAUUGCCUCAGUAACGGCGAGUGAAGCGGCAAAAGCUCAAAUUUGAAAUCUGUCUGUAUUUUUUACAGACCGAGUUGUAAUUUGAAGAUGGCAACUUUGGGAAUGGCCUUUAUCUAUGUUCCUUGGAACAGGACGUCACAGAGGGUGAGAAUCCCGUCUGAUGAGGAGAUCCAUUUCUUUGUAAAGUGCUUUCGAAGAGUCGAGUUGUUUGGGAAUGCAGCUCUAAGUGGGAGGUAAAUUCCUUCUAAAGCUAAAUAUUGGCGAGAGACCGAUAGCGAACAAGUACAGUGAUGGAAAGAUGAAAAGAACUUUGAAAAGAGAGUGAAAAAGUACGUGAAAUUGUUGAAAGGGAAGGAUAUUAGAUCAGACUUGGUGCUUGAUGAUAAUUGUUUUCUUGUAAGGCAAGUUUUUCUCUUGUACUGGGCCAGCAUCGAUUGGUGUGGUGGGAUAAUAACAAUUGAAUGUGGCUUUUCUUCGGAAAAGUGUUAUAGCUUUUGUUGAUACUGCCUGCGUCGAUCGAGGACUGCGUCAAUUUAUUGACUAGGAUGCUGGCGUAAUGAUCUAAUAUCGCCCGUCUUGAAAGCACGGACCAAGGGCGAAUUCCACAUUGG